Molecule: ribosomal RNA, 521 nt
Filed under: uncultured bacterium
Lineage: Bacteria
Description: bacterial SSU rRNA
Rfam family: Bacterial small subunit ribosomal RNA
Source: RNAcentral
AAUAGAUACCCUGGUAGUCCACGCCCUAAACGAUGAUAACUGGCUAUGAGGAGUAUCGACCCUCUUCGUGGCGAAGCUAACGCGUUAAGUUAUCCGCCUGGAUAGUACGGCCGCAAGGCUAAAACUCAAAGGAAUAGACGGGGACUUGCACAAGCGGUGGAUCAUGCGGCCCAAUUCGAUGAUAAACGAAGAACCUUACCAAGGCUUGACAUACACGAGAACACCCUGGAAACAGGGGACUCUUUGGACACUCGUGAACAGGUGGUGCAUGGUUGUCGUCAGCUCGUGUCGUGAGAUGUUGGGUUAAGUCCCGCAACGAGCGCAACCCUCGUUCUAUGUUGCCAGCACGUAAUGGUGGGAACUCAUGGGAUACUGCCGGGGUCAACUCGGAGGAAGGUGGGGAUGACGUCAAAUCAUCAUGCCCCUUAUGUCUUGGGCUUCACGCAUGCUACAAUGGCCGGUACAAAGGGCUGCAAUACCGUGAGGUGGAGCGAAUCCCAAAAAGCCGGUCCCAGUUCGGA